RNAcentral lists this ribosomal RNA (463 nucleotides) under Salmonella enterica subsp. enterica serovar Goldcoast. RNAcentral describes it as "partial 23S ribosomal RNA". It matches the Rfam family "Bacterial large subunit ribosomal RNA", at positions 2377 to 2835 of the family's 2925-position model. The record is from RNAcentral. Lineage: Bacteria; Pseudomonadati; Pseudomonadota; Gammaproteobacteria; Enterobacterales; Enterobacteriaceae.
GAGCGUGACGGCGCGAGCAGGUGCGAAAGCAGGUCAUAGUGAUCCGGUGGUUCUGAAUGGAAGGGCCAUCGCUCAACGGAUAAAAGGUACUCCGGGGAUAACAGGCUGAUACCGCCCAAGAGUUCAUAUCGACGGCGGUGUUUGGCACCUCGAUGUCGGCUCAUCACAUCCUGGGGCUGAAGUAGGUCCCAAGGGUAUGGCUGUUCGCCAUUUAAAGUGGUACGCGAGCUGGGUUUAGAACGUCGUGAGACAGUUCGGUCCCUAUCUGCCGUGGGCGCUGGAGAACUGAGGGGGGCUGCUCCUAGUACGAGAGGACCGGAGUGGACGCAUCACUGGUGUUCGGGUUGUCAUGCCAAUGGCACUGCCCGGUAGCUAAAUGCGGAAGAGAUAAGUGCUGAAAGCAUCUAAGCACGAAACUUGCCCCGAGAUGAGUUCUCCCUGAGACUUAAAGUCUCCUGAAGGA